GCUGAAAUUGACAUGGUUGAUUUUGUAACACAUUCAUACACAUUCAAGUUUUGAAAUCGACAAUUGCCAUCGUCUUUGGAAUGCAACUGGAAUACACAUUCUGAGGUCACACAGGUUCAAACAAUACUCAGUCCAGAGUGGGCGGAGCUUUAAAGCGAUAUCUGUAUAGUAUACAGAUACAGCAUAGCGAUAUCUGUAGGGCUGUAUCUGUAUAGUAGGACACCCG
RNAcentral lists this long non-coding RNA (226 nucleotides) under Mytilus galloprovincialis (Mediterranean mussel). Lineage: Eukaryota; Metazoa; Mollusca; Bivalvia; Mytilida; Mytilidae. The record is from RNAcentral.